Molecule: ribosomal RNA, 775 nt
Filed under: uncultured bacterium
Lineage: Bacteria
Description: bacterial SSU rRNA
Rfam family: Bacterial small subunit ribosomal RNA
Source: RNAcentral
UGGACCAAUACUGACGCUGAGGUACGAAAGCGUGGGUAGCAAACAGGAUUAGAUACCCUGGUAGUCCACGCCGUAAACGAUGAUAACUAGCCGUUGGGGGGAUUUACCCCUUAGUGGCGAAGCUAACGCGUUAAGUUAUCCGCCUGGGGAGUACGGCCGCAAGGUUAAAACUCAAAGGAAUUGACGGGGACCCGCACAAGCGGUGGAGCAUGUGGUUUAAUUCGAUGCAACGCGAAGAACCUUACCUGGUCUUGACAUCCUGAGAACUUUCUAGAAAUAGAUUGGUGCCUUCGGGAACUCAGUGACAGGUGCUGCAUGGCUGUCGUCAGCUCGUGUCGUGAGAUGUUGGGUUAAGUCCCGUAACGAGCGCAACCCCUAUCCUUAUUUGCCAGCACAUCAUGGUGGGAACUAUAAGGAGACUGCCGGUGAUAAACCGGAGGAAGGCGGGGACGACGUCAAGUCAUCAUGGCCCUUACGACCAGGGCUACACACGUGCUACAAUGGGAAGGACAAAGAGCCGCGAAGCCGCGAGGUGUAGCUAAUCUCAGAAACCUUUUCGUAGUCCGGAUUGGAGUCUGCAACUCGACUCCAUGAAGUCGGAAUCGCUAGUAAUCGUAGAUCAGAAUGCUACGGUGAAUACGUUCCCGGGUCUUGUACACACCGCCCGUCAUACCAUGGGAGUGGGUUGCACCAGAAGUGGCUAGUCUAACUUUAUUGAGGACGGUCACCACGGUGUGAUUCAUGACUGGGGUAAAGUCGUAACAAGGUAGCCGUA